UGACAAUAAAGAUGAUGUCUAAAUUGGUAUGUCUUGGGAAGAAAAGAGACAAUAGGAGAUAUGAGGGACACUAGAGAUCUUUGAGACAAAGUUUUUUUUUUUCACUUGUCUGAGUCCUCUAUAAUCUUACCAACUGUCAACAUCAGCA
Oxyura jamaicensis (ruddy duck) is the source of this 148-nucleotide long non-coding RNA. RefSeq lists it as uncharacterized. The record is from RefSeq and is a predicted model, not a curated record. Lineage: Eukaryota; Metazoa; Chordata; Aves; Anseriformes; Anatidae. The transcript has 4 exons.